RNAcentral lists this ribosomal RNA (481 nucleotides) under Delftia acidovorans. RNAcentral describes it as "bacterial SSU rRNA". It matches the Rfam family "Bacterial small subunit ribosomal RNA", at positions 30 to 506 of the family's 1533-position model. The record is from RNAcentral. Lineage: Bacteria; Pseudomonadati; Pseudomonadota; Betaproteobacteria; Burkholderiales; Comamonadaceae.
AUUGAACGCUGGCGGCAUGCCUUACACAUGCAAGUCGAACGGUAACAGGUCUUCGGACGCUGACGAGUGGCGAACGGGUGAGUAAUACAUCGGAACGUGCCCAGUCGUGGGGGAUAACUACUCGAAAGAGUAGCUAAUACCGCAUACGAUCUGAGGAUGAAAGCGGGGGACCUUCGGGCCUCGCGCGAUUGGAGCGGCCGAUGGCAGAUUAGGUAGUUGGUGGGAUAAAAGCUUACCAAGCCGACGAUCUGUAGCUGGUCUGAGAGGACGACCAGCCACACUGGGACUGAGACACGGCCCAGACUCCUACGGGAGGCAGCAGUGGGGAAUUUUGGACAAUGGGCGAAAGCCUGAUCCAGCAAUGCCGCGUGCAGGAUGAAGGCCUUCGGGUUGUAAACUGCUUUUGUACGGAACGAAAAAGCUCCUUCUAAUACAGGGGGCCCAUGACGGUACCGUAAGAAUAAGCACCGGCUAACUACGU